RNAcentral lists this ribosomal RNA (245 nucleotides) under uncultured bacterium. RNAcentral describes it as "partial 16S ribosomal RNA". It matches the Rfam family "Bacterial small subunit ribosomal RNA", at positions 524 to 768 of the family's 1533-position model. The record is from RNAcentral.
UACAGAGGUCUCGAGCGUUAGGCGGAAUCACUGGGCUUAAAGCGUGUGUAGGCGGCGUGCUAAGUACCUUGUGAAAUCCCACGGCUCAACUGUGGAACUGCUUGGUAUACUGGUUCGCUUGAGCAACCUAGGGGCGAGCGGAACAAAUGGUGGAGCGGUGAAAUGCGUAGAUAUCAUUUGGAACGCCAAUGGUGAAAACAGCUCGCUGGGGGUUUGCUGACGCUGAGACACGAAAGCCAGGGGAG